UGUCGGAGCUGAAGGAGGAG
This 20-nucleotide unclassified non-coding RNA is filed under the name Mus musculus (house mouse). RNAcentral's name for it is "oocyte_clustered_small_RNA413". The record is from RNAcentral. Lineage: Eukaryota; Metazoa; Chordata; Mammalia; Rodentia; Muridae.